Molecule: ribosomal RNA, 253 nt
Filed under: uncultured bacterium
Lineage: Bacteria
Description: partial 16S ribosomal RNA
Rfam family: Bacterial small subunit ribosomal RNA
Source: RNAcentral
UACGGAGGGGGCAAGCGUUAUUCGGAAUUAUUGGGCGUAAAGGGCGCGUAGGCGGCUAGAUGUGUCAAAGGUGAAAUCCCUCGGCUCAACUGAGGAACUGCCUUUGAAACUGUCUGGCUUGAGGCCGGGAGAGGGUAGCGGAAUUCCCAGUGUAGCGGUGAAAUGCGUAGAUAUCUGGAGGAACACCGGUGGCGAAGGCGGCGUCCUGGACCAACACUGACACUGAUGAGCGAAAGCCAGGGGAGCAAACGGG